UUAAUUUAAGGACUAUAUUUUUUCAACUCUACUGAUAAUUUCACAUCAGCUGCACAGAGACAAAAGGCAAAGAGACUAAAUCAUUGAUCUGUCAGUUUGAUCACAGAAAAUGAUUUAUUCUACUUUUCCUGCUGUCAAAAAUAAAUAAAUAAAUAUUUGGUGGUUUAUUUUAUGUUGUUGGGGCAUCCUAAGGUGGAUAUUGUAGAUUAAAUAUGUCUCACAUCAACAAGAUUACAAGAUAAACUUAGUCAAGGAUCAGAGUAAGUUUUUAUAAUAAAAACAAAAACUUUAUUCAGUCACUAAUAUAGCAAACUAUAAACAGGAAGUCAGCUGAGCGUGUCAGUGCUCUCUGGGCUGUGGUUCAUUCUUGUUCCUGUGUUCAGCUGCAGAAAUGAAUGACUCAAAUGAAACACCAAACUGCUCAUGUCUGAAUAUAUCUGGCUAAUUUCUGGGAGAAUGGAGCUUUCCAUUCCUUUAUGCACCCAAUCCUCUUACCCUCCGUCCUAAUCCUGGAGCUGCACAGAAAAACACACGGAACUCCCCUUUAAAGCUCUAUUUCCUGUGUGUGUUUAAAUCCAAACAGCACUAAUGACUGUUUGUUAUUGUGUGUCUGCACUUUGUAAAAUUCCUGCACUCUGGAUGAUGGAGGAUUAACGUCCAAACGGCACAUGAGCCUCUGCGGUAUUGUCUAUUUCACGUGAGCGAUAACCCUCCACCAUCAUCAUCAUCAUUAUCUUUCCCUCCCCAUCCUCCUGGCAGCUGAGGAAGAAGAGGAAGAGAAUCAGAAAGCACCUCGAAAUCAUCCAGCUGCAAUGAAGGAUGUCAACCUCAAGAAUAGCCAAAUUUUUAUGGUGGACAAAAUCUUGCUUCUUGUUCGUUUUUCUUCAGUUUUUUCAGUGUGUCGAGGUUGUAAACACAUUGACAGGGAUAAACCUAAAAAAAAUCUUUCAGAAACCAACAAACCUCUCAGAUGCUUCAUGUUCAGAUCGGGCGAAGAAGAGUCAGAAGUCUGUGUGGACACCAGCAGCAGCCCUCACGUCUACUCCAACGUCCAAACAUCUCACUCAGUACUGAACCUGAAGUGAACUGCAGACCCAGCAGCUCUGUGAGCUCCCACUGGCUCUGUUAAGACCCUGUGAGGACUUCCAGCUCCGCGAGGACCCUGUGAGGACUGGGUCUGGGUGCAGCUCAGCAGAUAAGAAAGGAGUUGACUUUAUGCAACUGAGCAAGUUCAUGUGACAAGCAUGUGAGGCAGCAGGGCUCUUUGUUCGACCCAGUCUCAUGACUCCAGGCCGAGGUAAUCCUUCUGGGAGUCUCAUGACCCAUCGAGCUUCAACACAAGAGCAUUUUCAUGAGCUGCUGGAACCAGACUCAAUAAAUCUGCUUUUAAAAAUCCCCCAAAAA
Long non-coding RNA from Oreochromis niloticus (Nile tilapia), 1404 nucleotides. RefSeq lists it as uncharacterized. The record is from RefSeq and is a predicted model, not a curated record. The transcript has 3 exons. NCBI's taxonomy places the organism in Eukaryota, Metazoa, Chordata, Actinopteri, Cichliformes, Cichlidae.